GCCAAUGGUACUUCGUCUCAAGACGCGGGAGAGUAGGUCGCUGCCAGGU
This 49-nucleotide ribosomal RNA is filed under the name Phyllobacterium bourgognense. The record is from RNAcentral. Lineage: Bacteria; Pseudomonadati; Pseudomonadota; Alphaproteobacteria; Hyphomicrobiales; Phyllobacteriaceae.